UAUGGUGCCCAAUACGAUGGAGCCGAUGAUUGACCGCGGGACGGCGGUUUGGUUGGCAGUGGGUGGGGAUCCAGAGUGCCGGGGCUGCCUUUUCUCGCAGCGAUUCUGCUGAAGCAGUGAGUCGUUUUUUUUUUUUUUUGCGGCGACUCACGCAGUUUUUGAAGCUUGGAAAAAUCCGCGAUGCGUGCUUGUGUAUGCAGCAGCGGUCUUCCCCUUCUUUUCGACGCUUAGUGCGAUGCCUGUUGCGUUGAAUUGUAACCAUCGGUUGUGGGUUCAUUCUGUGACUGCUGUGGUCCAUUUUGCCACAGCAUGCCAUGCUUUGUUCUGUGAGAUUCACAGCUCGAGAUAUCCUUAUUCAGGGAAGAAGACGUACCCCAGAGAGGCAAAUAAAACAUGACUAGUAAAAAUCCUCAAUCCUUGUGUUUGUAGCAGCAUGAUGAAACCAUCGAUCUACCCGAAUAAAUGACCUUGGUCGUCAUCGCCUCCUGGGGUCCUCAUGUUAUAGUCACGAGGCCAGGAUUGAUGGAGGCAGCCAUACUUUGAUGCUCGGAGAGACAAAGUUAAAAAAAAUAAAAAAAUAAAAAAAUAAAAAAUAGUACCCUCAUCAGAGGCAAUAAUGCUAAAGGACAGGGAAUGGCGCAUCGCCAAGUGGACGGUGCUCGUGACUCCCCUAACUGCUCGAAACGCAUGUCCGUCUGCAGCUCUUCCACUUGGUGCUCUCAGACUGGUGCGUUUUCAAACGCCGUGGAAGUGGGUUUUAGUCCAUUCGUGGUGAUGCACCAUUUCAGAUUCCGUGGAAGCUCACAUCAAGUUGCAUUUGACUGGCGUCGCUCUGAACAGGCCAGACUUGACAAAAAGCUCAAGAAUCGAACAUAACCAACGGUAGAGAGCGCUGUGAAGAAAUUAACAGGAUUUUAUGACUGGUGAGGAAGACAAGGGUGGAAAGUUCAUUCAAAGUAUGGGUAGACAUGCAGCUGCUACACUGUAGACCUCCUACAUUGGGCGGGGUCCACACCAAGUGCAUAACGCUAACAAGUAGCCAGAAGAGCAUAUCUCUAAUGCGUCAGGAAUAUUUAACUGAAAACAACUGUACAUCGAAAAUUAUAUUCUCACAGGGUCCUCAGUAACUUUUUGGAGGAGCAUUCGAAUGAUGGGAUGCCUGGGAUUGAUUUCAAGGAUGCGCUUGCUCUUCAUUUGUGAUACCUUGGAGGGGUCAACAAGGG
Non-coding RNA from Physcomitrium patens, 1223 nucleotides. The record is from RefSeq and is a predicted model, not a curated record. NCBI's taxonomy places the organism in Eukaryota, Viridiplantae, Streptophyta, Bryopsida, Funariales, Funariaceae.